Molecule: ribosomal RNA, 787 nt
Filed under: Neoleptoneta serena
Lineage: Eukaryota; Metazoa; Arthropoda; Arachnida; Araneae; Leptonetidae
Description: eukaryotic LSU rRNA
Rfam family: Eukaryotic large subunit ribosomal RNA (bases 487-787)
Source: RNAcentral
UGGACCCUCGAAUUCUGCGCGUCGGGAGGUUCAGUCGGGUCGGCGCGCGGCGGGCGGACCGCGCGGGAGAGGCGACGGCCCCUCGGGGCCGCCGUCCCCGCGCCCCGCCCGCGUCCGCGCCACCGACGCAUUUCUUCCCGCGCCGAGGACGCCGCGGCCGGUCGGGCACGAACGAGAGUCCUCCGAGAGGGCGGAGACCAGAGAGGGCUUGGCCUCGGGGGAGACCCCGACGGGCCUCGCCUCCUCCGCCCGGGCGGACGCCCGACCGAGGCGCAAGGAGGGGCCCGUUCCGGCGGGCCCCGCCGUCCCCUUCGAACGCGAGAAGCGGGUGCCUUGAGCAAGCACGCGUCGGCGAGGGCGCCCCACCGCCUCGCGCGGUGCGCGCCCCGCCCGGCGCAGCGGACGUCCGAGAGACGCCCGCGGGGGAUCGAAGGACGGCGCGCGGCGAGUAGGUCGGUCACCCACCCGUCCCGUCUUGAAACACGGACCAAGGAGUCUGACGCGUGCGCGAGUCGACGGGACUUGGACAGGCCCGGAGGCGGAGCGAAAGCGAGCGCCGGACCGCCGCCCGCGGCGGUCCGCGCGAGGUCGAGAUUCCGCGCCCGGAGGAGGCGCGGACGCAUCGACGGCCCGUCCCCCCGACCCGUCGGAGGGGCGGAGUCCGAGCGCACCCGUCGGUACCCGAAAGACGGCGAACUAUGCCUGGCCAGGACGAAUGCAGUGGAAACUCUGCUGGAAGUCCGCAGCGGUUCUGACGUGCAAAUCGAUUGUCGGAGCUGCGUAUAGG